GUUAGGGGAGGAAAAUGCUCCCUAUCAGCACUGCUGAGGAAUGAAGGCAAAUGAGAAAGGGAAAAGAAGGGAGAAGCAAGACUGAGUGCAUAGUGCAGGAGUCUGAUCUAAUACAGAUCUAGAAAAGAAAGUGCAAUAUAAGAAGGAAGUGUAUUAGAAAGAUAAUAAAAUAUAUUGUAAGGAAAGAAAUAGGGUAAAUAUAGAAAAUAUGAACAAUGUUUGGAAAAGCAAGUACCAUACGUUGGAGAUGGAAGAGAUGCCAAGCCCUAUGGAAAGAACAAGAACUGUGCGGCUUCACUCACGUUGCUGUGGGACAGAAUGCGUUCAGUCACAUCAUAUCUCACUGCGUAACCGAAGACAUUAAAAUAAACCAUCAAUUCAUCUUCCUUAAGAAAUAUAAGAUGACAUCAUGGCUAUUAUUUAUUUAUUGA
Molecule: long non-coding RNA, 431 nt
Filed under: Struthio camelus australis
Lineage: Eukaryota; Metazoa; Chordata; Aves; Struthioniformes; Struthionidae
Description: lncRNA (ENSSCUG00000003911.1)
Source: RNAcentral